RNAcentral lists this ribosomal RNA (253 nucleotides) under uncultured bacterium. RNAcentral describes it as "partial 16S ribosomal RNA". It matches the Rfam family "Bacterial small subunit ribosomal RNA", at positions 524 to 776 of the family's 1533-position model. The record is from RNAcentral.
UACGUAGGGUGCAAGCGUUAUCCGGAAUCACUGGGCGUAAAGCGCACGUAGGCGGAUUGUUAAGUCAGGGGUGAAAUCCUGGAGCUCAACUCCAGAACUGCCUUUGAUACUGGCGAUCUUGAGUCCGGGAGAGGUGAGUGGAACUGCGAGUGUAGAGGUGAAAUUCGUAGAUAUUCGCAAGAACACCAGUGGCGAAGGCGGCUCACUGGCCCGGUACUGACGCUGAGGUGCGAAAGCGUGGGGAGCAAACAGG